RNAcentral lists this ribosomal RNA (429 nucleotides) under Enterococcus sp. RNAcentral describes it as "bacterial SSU rRNA". It matches the Rfam family "Bacterial small subunit ribosomal RNA", at positions 277 to 698 of the family's 1533-position model. The record is from RNAcentral. Lineage: Bacteria; Bacillati; Bacillota; Bacilli; Lactobacillales; Enterococcaceae.
CGAUGCAUAGCCGACCUGAGCCAGGAUCCAACUCUACUGGGACUGAGACACGGCCCAGACUCCUACGGGAGGCAGCAGUAGGGAAUCUUCGGCAAUGGACGAAAGUCUGACCGAGCAACGCCGCGUGAGUGAAGAAGGUUUUCGGAUCGUAAAACUCUGUUGUUAGAGAAGAACAAGGACGUUAGUAACUGAACGUCCCCUGACGGUAUCUAACCAGAAAGCCACGGCUAACUACGUGCCAGCAGCCGCGGUAAUACGUAGGUGGCAAGCGUUGUCCGGAUUUAUUGGGCGUAAAGCGAGCGCAGGCGGUUUCUUAAGUCUGAUGUGAAAGCCCCCGGCUCAACCGGGGAGGGUCAUUGGAAACUGGGAGACUUGAGUGCAGAAGAGGAGAGUGGAAUUCCAUGUGUAGCGGUGAAAUGCGUAGAUAUA